AUUGAACGCUGGCGGCAUGCCUUACACAUGCAAGUCGAACGGUAACGGGCCUUCGGGUGCCGCCUAGUGGCGACCGGGGGCGUACUACAUCGGAACGUGCCCGAUCCUGGGGUAUAAUGGGGCGAAACCUAUGCUAAUACCCCAUACUAUCUCCGGCUGCCAGCAGGGGACAGCAGGGCCUUGCGCGGCCUUACCCGCCGAUGUCAGCUUAGGUCGUUGGAGGGAUAAAAGCGUACCAAGGCGACGAUCUGUAGCUGGUCUGAGAGGAUGAUCAGCCACACUGGAACUGAGACACGGCCCAGACUCCUACGGGAGGCAGCAGUGGGGAAUUUUGGACAAUGGGCGCAAGCCUGAUCCAGCCAUGCCGCGUGGAUGAUGAAGGCCUUCGGGUUGUAAAGUGCUUUUGUUGGGAACGAAAAGCCGUCGGUUAAUACAGGAGUGUCAUGACGGUACCGAAAGAAUAAGCACCGGCUAACUACGUG
Molecule: ribosomal RNA, 482 nt
Filed under: uncultured bacterium
Lineage: Bacteria
Description: partial 16S ribosomal RNA
Rfam family: Bacterial small subunit ribosomal RNA
Source: RNAcentral